UACGUAGGUUGCGAGCGUUAUCCGGAUUUACUGGGCGUAAAGCGCUUGUAGGCGGUAAUAUAAGUUGGGCGUGAAACCUCUGGGCUUAACCCGGAGCAUGCGCACAAUACUGUAAUACUAGAGGGUGUCAGAGGAAAACGGAAUUCCCGGUGUAGUAGUGAAAUGCGUAGAUAUCGGGAGGAACAUCAGUGGCGAAGGCGGUUUUCUGGGACAUUACUGACGCUGAGAAGCGACAGCUAGGGGAGCAAACAGG
This 253-nucleotide ribosomal RNA is filed under the name uncultured bacterium. Its description in RNAcentral is "partial 16S ribosomal RNA". It matches the Rfam family "Bacterial small subunit ribosomal RNA", at positions 524 to 776 of the family's 1533-position model. The record is from RNAcentral.